GCCAGACUCCUACGGGAGGCAGCAGUGGGGAAUAUUGCACAAUGGGGGAAACCCUGAUGCAGCAACGCCGCGUGAGUGAAGAAGUAUUUCGAUAUGUAAAGCUCUAUCAGCAGGGAAGAAGAUGACGGUACCUGAGUAAGAAGCCCCGGCUAACUACGUGCCAGCAGCCGCGGUAAUACGUAGGGGGCAAGCGUUAUCCGGAUUUACUGGGUGUAAAGGGAGCGUAGACGGCAUAGCAAGUCUGAAGUGAAAGCCCAGGGCUCAACCAUGGGACUGCUUUGGAAACUGUUAAGCUGGAGUGCUGGAGAGGUAAGCGGAAUUCCUAGUGUAGCGGUGAAAUGCGUAGAUAUUAGGAAGAACACCAGUGGCGAAGGCGGCUUACUGGACAGUAACUGACGUUGAGGCUCGAAAGCGUGGGGAGCAAACAGGAUUAGAUACCCCGGUA
RNAcentral lists this ribosomal RNA (445 nucleotides) under uncultured bacterium. Its description in RNAcentral is "bacterial SSU rRNA". It matches the Rfam family "Bacterial small subunit ribosomal RNA", at positions 330 to 792 of the family's 1533-position model. The record is from RNAcentral.